AGCAAGAAGAAAAAGACAGAAGGAAGAGAGCGGAAAUGAAGAAGGCUUCUCUCAGAGCUGCCACUGCACAUGCAGAGUCCUCCGCAGUGAACAGCCUUGUGGAGAUGAUGCAGAAGCUGCAGCUGAAAGACUGAGAGGAGCAGCAGCAGAAGGCAGCGGCUGCUGUACCCCUUUCUUUCCCCCUUCCUUCCCCAUGCCUUCCCCCUGCAACGGCCUGCUGUUCUGCUGCUACUGUUACCUGACAGUCAUUAAAAAACACUUUUCCAACACAUUGGAUCAGACCGCAUACUCUCCCUGAUUAUAAAAGCAGUAAAACAAGGAAUGUAGCAUUAUGUAUCGAUAAACUCCCGCCUGCUUCAAGACCAAUAGCAGCUUCUCAUCCUGGAUUAACUCCUGAGCACAGCCUGGACUCCGUGCAUGGAUUUGGAGUCAGCAGUGGCUCUGCAAUAUUGGGUCUGAGUCUUCAGCUUCCACUUCAAGUUCUAGUGUAAUUUAGGACACAAAAAUGUGUGACCACUCCUUUCAAAACAAAAUAUAUAAGAAGAAAAUACACUU
Long non-coding RNA from Numida meleagris (helmeted guineafowl), 555 nucleotides. RefSeq lists it as uncharacterized. Lineage: Eukaryota; Metazoa; Chordata; Aves; Galliformes; Numididae. The transcript has 2 exons. The record is from RefSeq and is a predicted model, not a curated record.